GACGAACGCUGGCGGCGUGCCUAAUACAUGCAAGUCGAGCGAACAGACGAGGAUCUUGCUCCUCGCUCGUUAGGGGCGGGCGGGUGAGAAACAUGAGUAACAUCCACCUAUAAGACUGGUAAAACCACGGGAAACCGGCGCAAAUACCGUAUAAUCUAUUGAAGCAUAUUGUUCAAUGGAGAAUUUCGGUUUUGGGGGCUGUAAUAGAUGGAUCCCCGCCGCAUUAGCUAGUUGGGAGGGUAACGGGUUACCACGGCAACGAUGCGUAGACGACCUGAGAGGCUGAUAGGCCACACGGGAGCGGGGACGCGGUCAAGACUCCUGAGGGAGGCAGCAGUAGCGAAUGGUCCGCAAUGGGCGAAAGCCUGACGGAGCAACGCGGCGUGAGUGGUGGAGGUCCUCGGAGCGUAAAAAUCUGUUAUGAGGGAAAAACAAAUGUGUAAGUAACUAUGCACGUCUUGACGGUAACUGAUCAGAAAGCCACGGCUAACUACGUG
This 497-nucleotide ribosomal RNA is filed under the name uncultured bacterium. Its description in RNAcentral is "partial 16S ribosomal RNA". It matches the Rfam family "Bacterial small subunit ribosomal RNA", at positions 28 to 507 of the family's 1533-position model. The record is from RNAcentral.